Molecule: long non-coding RNA, 1471 nt
Filed under: Cavia porcellus (domestic guinea pig)
Lineage: Eukaryota; Metazoa; Chordata; Mammalia; Rodentia; Caviidae
Description: lncRNA (ENSCPOG00000037491.1)
Source: RNAcentral
UGAUGACUCCUCAUCAGGUAGGAAGCAAUCCGCUGGCUACUACCAGCACUCACAGCCUCUUUCCCCUUUGGCUUCCCACUGCACUGGACACCCCUACAGGCACAGUGACACCAGCCUAGAAUUUUAACUCGGCCAGAGUGUGCGCCUGCCCACAGCCUCUGCUCACCACCACCUAAUCAAAGCCUGUUUGGCUGACUCCUGGCGCUCUGGCGCCUACGUGACGCCAAGAAUAAAAUUGCGUCCUGCUUCCCGGCCUGCUCUGUUAACCACCCACCUAGACCACCACCGGGACCCGGAGCACACACCGCGGGGCCCCCAGCGGGAGCGCUAGCAGGCCACGGCUCCCGCGUUCCGCGUCCCCUUCCGCCGAGGAGCCUCUACUGGGAAGGACGGCCCUGCCCACCCACCCGAGCUCCCUGGCCAGAGCGCGUGGGACUGCGGACUCUGUACUCAGGGAAGGGGCCUGGGCGCACUUCCGCGCUCCGAGGUGAGGCGGGAAAAGCCCAGAGCAGCGCCCGGCCCACCCUGGAAACCAAAGCGCGGCUCCCGCCCCGAAGACCCAGAGCGCCGCAGGAGUCGGGCCUCCGCUCGCUGCUGAUUGGCUGCGCCGGGUCAGACGCCGUGGGAUUCAGCUCUUGCCACUAGUGCAACUUUUGGAAACAAGGAAUUUUCCUCUACUACCUGCACAAAUCUGAUGACUCCUCAUCAGGUAGGAAGCAAUCCGCUGGCUACUACCAGCACUCACAGCCUCUUUCCCCUUUGGCUUCCCACUGCACUGGACACCCCUACAGGCACAGUGACACCAGCCUAGAAUUUUAACUCGGCCAGAGUGUGCGCCUGCCCACAGCCUCUGCUCACCACCACCUAAUCAAAGCCUGUUUGGCUGACUCCUGGCGCUCUGGCGCCUACGUGACGCCAAGAAUAAAAUUGCGUCCUGCUUCCCGGCCUGCUCUGUUAACCACCCACCUAGACCACCACCGGGACCCGGAGCACACACCGCGGGGCCCCCAGCGGGAGCGCUAGCAGGCCACGGCUCCCGCGUUCCGCGUCCCCUUCCGCCGAGGAGCCUCUACUGGGAAGGACGGCCCUGCCCACCCACCGGAGCUCCCUGGCCAGAGCGCGUGGGACUCCGGGCUCUGUACUCAGGGCAGGGGCCUGGGCGCACUUCCGCGCUCCGAGGUGAGUCGGGAAAAGCCCAGAGCAGCGCCCGGCCCACCCUGGAAACCAAAGCGCGGCUCCCGCCCCGAAGACCCAGAGCGCCGCAGGAGUCGGGCCUCCGCUCGCUGCUGAUUGGCUGGGCCGGGUCAGACGCCGUGGGGUGAGUGAACGCGAAUAACCUCGAGGCGCUCUGGGCACCGCAGUAACCCCGGGGAGCGCUGAGGAAGCCAGACCACGCCCUGCGCUAGCGAGCCGGCCGCGCCCGGCCUGGGACACAGGCAGAGGGGCGGGGCAGGAGGGAAGAAGGGCGGGG